RNAcentral lists this ribosomal RNA (587 nucleotides) under uncultured haloarchaeon. RNAcentral describes it as "bacterial SSU rRNA". It matches the Rfam family "Archaeal small subunit ribosomal RNA", at positions 335 to 921 of the family's 1478-position model. The record is from RNAcentral. Lineage: Archaea; Methanobacteriati; Methanobacteriota; Halobacteria; Halobacteriales; Halobacteriaceae.
GCAGGCGCGAAACCUUUACACUGCACGACAGUGCGAUAGGGGGAUCCCAAGUGCACAGGCAUAGCGCCUGUGCUUUUCGGUACCCUAAGGCGGUACCAGAAUAAGGGCUGGGCAAGACCGGUGCCAGCCGCCGCGGUAAUACCGGCAGCCCAAGUGAUGGCCGAUCUUAUUGGGCCUAAAGCGUCCGUAGCUGGCCGUACAAGUCCAUCGGGAAAUCCACCUGCUCAACAGGUGGGCGCCCGGUAGAAACUGUGCGGCUUGGGACCGGAAGGCGCGACGGGUACGUCCGGGGUAGGAGUGAAAUCCCGUAAUCCUGGACGGACCGCCGAUGGCGAAAGCACGUCGCGAGAACGGAUCCGACAGUGAGGGACGAAGGCCAGGGUCUCGAACCGGAUUAGAUACCCGGGUAGUCCUGGCCGUAAACAAUGUCUGCUAGGUGUGGCUCCCACUACGAGUGGGUGCUGUGCCGUAGGGAAGCCGCUAAGCAGACCGCCUGGGAAGUACGUCCGCAAGGAUGAGACUUAAAGGGAUUGGCGGGGGAGCACUACAACCGGAGGAGCCUGCGGUUUAAUUGGAGUCAACGCCGG